RNAcentral lists this ribosomal RNA (383 nucleotides) under uncultured eukaryote. RNAcentral's name for it is "partial 18S ribosomal RNA". It matches the Rfam family "Eukaryotic small subunit ribosomal RNA", at positions 592 to 976 of the family's 1831-position model. The record is from RNAcentral.
CAAUAGCGUAUAUUAAAGUUGUUGCAGUUAAAAAGCUCGUAGUUGGAUUUCUGGUGGGAGCGAUCGGUCUGGCGCUUAGCGCGAGUACUUGCAUCGUCUCCGGCCAUCCUUGGGGAGAGUCUGUCUGGCAUUAAGUUGUCGGGCAGAUGAUCCUCAUCGUUUACUGUGAAAAAAUUAGAGUGUUCAAAGCAGGCUUAUGCCGUUGAAUAUAUUAGCAUGGAAUAAUAAGAUAGGACUUUGGUACUAUUUUGUUGGUUUGCGCACCAAAGUAAUGAUUAAUAGGGACAGUUGGGGGUAUUCGUAUUCCGUUGUCAGAGGUGAAAUUCUUGGAUUUACGGAAGACGAACUACUGCGAAAGCAUUUACCAAGGAUGUUUUCAUUAA